RNAcentral lists this unclassified non-coding RNA (267 nucleotides) under Chytridiomycota sp. RNAcentral's name for it is "partial contains small subunit ribosomal RNA, internal transcribed spacer 1, and 5.8S ribosomal RNA". The stretch from base 1 to 47 matches the Rfam family "Eukaryotic small subunit ribosomal RNA", at positions 1785 to 1831 of the family's 1831-position model. The record is from RNAcentral. Lineage: Eukaryota; Fungi; Chytridiomycota.
AAAGUCGUAACAAGGUAACCGUAGGUGAACCUGCGGUUGGAUCAUUAUAAAAUAAUGGUUUUCCAAGUUGAGUUUUGAAUCACAAUUUGAUUUAAAAUUCCUUGGAGAAUUCCAAUCAACCCUAUGUGCACUGUAAAUGUUUUUCGAGUACUUGUAAAAAAAGUACUCGACCAUAUUUAAAAACCCCUUUUUUAUAAUUUUGUCUGAAUUUUUUAUUUUAAUAUAAAGAAAAAAAUACAACUUUUGACAACGGAUCUCUUGGCUCUC